CGGUGCAGCCCCAUUAAGAAACGAUCGACGCACGCGGUCACAUGUUAGCGCGCGCUUAAUACAUGCGUACUUGCCGUGUAUUCCAUUCCGUACGAUUCGUUAACGCGAGGCGUUCGUUACCUCAUCGGUGUCCUCGUGACGAACGAUUAUACGAGUAUCGAACGCCGUAUCGACGACGCAACGUGUUUGGCGGCCAGUGGGGCGGCACGAAGUAGAAAAAGGAAGAGGAGGAGAGAGAAAGGCAGGAACGCGAGAAGAAAAUAUCGUGGCGACGGAUUGGAGUGCGCUUAACGAGCGAGUAACUCUCCUUCCUCGCGAUCAUGGAUAAGGACGACUACGAGAGCCUGCCGACCAAUUCGGUGGCCGUGCACAUGACAGCCGGUGCCGUGGCCGGGAUCAUGGAGCAUUGCAUCAUGUACCCGUUUGACAGCGUCAAGACAAGAAUGCAGGCGUUAAUUCCCGGUCCAGGAGGAGGAACAAAAGUAGGGCAAGUAUUGUACAAAAUGAUGAAACAAGAAGGUAUAUUCAGGCCAAUUAGAGGUGUGAGUGCAGUAGUUGCCGGAGCUGGACCUGCACAUGCUUUAUAUUUUUCUUGUUAUGAGUGUCUUAAAGAAAAAUUCAAGAGUACGAGGUCCCAAUUUAAUCAUCUUGUCUAUGGUGCAGCUGGUUGCGUAGCAACAAUUUUACAUGAUGGUGUCAUGAAUCCAGCAGAAGUUGUAAAACAGCGACUACAGAUGUAUAAGUCUCCCUAUAGAGAUGUAUGGAGUUGUGUACAGCAUGUGUAUCAGAAAGAAGGGAUAUUUGCAUUCUACAGAAGUUACACAACUCAAUUGGCUAUGAAUGUGCCUUUUCAAAGUAUUCAUUUUAUUUCAUAUGAAUUUGUACAAUCCAUUACAAAUCCGGAUCAUGGUUACAAUCCAGUAGCACACAUAGCAUCUGGUGCGGCAGCAGGUGCGAUCGCGGCUGCAGCGACAACUCCUCUAGACGUUUGCAAGACAGUGUUGAAUACUCAGCAAGACGGCGUACAUGCUCAGGGUAUGAUGGAUGCAUUUAGACAAGUCUACAGGCAUGGCGGUAUAAAAGGAUACUUUCGUGGAUUACGCGCACGUGUUUUAUUCCAAGCACCAGCUACUGCCAUUUGUUGGGUGAUAUACGAAUCAUUCAAAUACGUGUUACAUAACAAGCAAAAUGACGAGUACAGUGAUUCCGAGACCGACAGUGGUAUGACUGGAAUUAAUCAAAAUCCGACAUCGAGAUCCAACAGCUUUCAAGGAACAGGCGCAACGCAAGCCCUUACCCCUUUGGAGGCCACCUCGAUCUGAUGAUUCUAUCAAUAUAGAUACCAUGAAACCGAUAGAUCCUGAUAUAAGAAACUUGCUUUAUCAGAAAGGAGUAUCAACUUUUAUUACUACUGAUAAUUAUUUGAUUGAAAGAUAUAAAGAACCUCCGGAGAAGCGUUUCUAUUUCCCCGAUUGUGUGAAUUGGAUAUAUGGAUGGCGUCUUGAUGAUUAUCCUUCUGUCCCACUUAGUAAAGUAGGCUUGAGAUCUAUUAUGUUGACACAAUUUUAUCAACGCAAAACAUUUAAUCUACAUCGAAAUCCAGGAUGGCAUCGCGGUU
Molecule: unclassified non-coding RNA, 1618 nt
Filed under: Camponotus floridanus (Florida carpenter ant)
Lineage: Eukaryota; Metazoa; Arthropoda; Insecta; Hymenoptera; Formicidae
Description: mitoferrin-2, transcript variant X4
Source: RNAcentral